CCCAGUAAACUCUCACCGGAGCGUAUUCGUUCUCUCUGUCUCCGCCUCUCUCUCUCUCGGGCUUCACUUGACAGUUUGUUCAAUCUCGAAGAUGUCGUUGACGGAGCUAGACGACGGACUGGUACGCAGGAUGGCCAUCGGAGCAGUCUUCUCUGAUUUCGGAGGGAAGAUACGUUCGUUAGGUUUCCAUAGGACUGAUGAUCUACUAGUAACAUCGAGCGAGGAUGAUUCACUACGCCUCUUCGAUAUCGCCAACGCUAAACAGGUGAAGAUAACAUACCAUAAGAAACAUGGUACCGAUCGUGUAUGCUUUACUCAUCAUCCCAGCUCUCUUAUCUGCUCUUCUCUUUACAAUCUUGAGUCCACUGGAGAAUCUUUGAGAUAUCUCUCAAUGUACGACAAUCGGAUUCUUCGUUACUUUAAAGGGCACAAAGACAGGGUUGUAUCCCUUUGUAUGUCUCCUAUUAAUGAUAGCUUCAUGUCUGGUUCUCUCGACCGAAGUGUCCGACUCUGGGAUCUUCGUGUUAAUGCCUGCCAGGGAAUUCUACACCUACGUGGGAGACCUGCAGUAGCUUAUGACCAACAAGGCCUGGUCUUUGCAAUUGCAAUGGAAGGAGGUGCUGUUAAAUUGUUUGAUUCCAGAUGUUAUGACAAGGGUCCCUUUGAUACGUUUCUGGUGGGUGGUGAUACUGCUGAGGUCAAUGAUAUAAAAUUCAGCAACGAUGGAAAAUCUAUGCUUCUUACUACCACAAAUAACAAUAUCUAUGUUCUUGAUGCUUAUCAUGGAGAGAAGAAAUGCGGUUUUAGUUUGGAGGCUUCACAGGGUACAUCCAUUGAAGCCACCUUCACACCAGAUGGCAAGUAUGUUCUGUCAGGUUCAGGAGAUGGAACCUUACAUGCGUGGAACAUCGAGAACCCAUCUGAGGUGGCGAGGUGGGAGAACAACAUAGGAGUAGUGUCGUGUCUGAAAUGGGCACCGCGUAGAGCAAUGUUCGUUGCUGCCUCCUCGGUUCUCACUUUUUGGAUCCCCAACGACGGUGAGGCACCAGCCCCCGCUGAUCCUCCUGCCGACCAACAAACUCCUCAGUGACGACUUCAUUGGAAGCUCGACGAUCAUCUACCAUCGUACCUUCUUCAAAUGGAGUUAAAAAAUAGACACGGAAAUUCUCAGAGACAGAGAGUAUUCGUUUACAUCAUCAUGAGGUGGUAACGAUGAGAGAUCAGCUGGAGAAGAAAGAGUGAGAUCCGAAAUUUUCAAGUCAGACAUUGAGGAGACAGAGCAAGAGAUCCACGUCGACAAAAAGAGAGAUUGUAGAAGAAGAUAGAGAGUAAAAAGUCUGGCAAUAGCGAUGCUAAGCAUGAUGUAAUAGUAUUACAGGGAUGGUUCCCGAGAUAGGCUUGCUCAGCUGCAAUGUGGCUUCUCAUCAUUCACAUGCUCUGCUGGCCAUGAAGAUAAUGCAGAGGGUGUUGUAAGGCAGUUCGUUGCAACUUGAUCAUUCAUCCUAGCAAAUUCUCAACAUGUUAUCCUUUUUGUCUAUGUGUGCUAGGUACCGUGUCUAGAAGACAUUGUUGGCAGCACUGUGACCUUCCAAGCUCUCUCCAUUCAACUUCGCUUCUAGACAUCAUAGAUUCACUCUCUGGUAUUUCCGAAAGCCACCAGCGGCCCCCUACUUUCAUUUGAGAAUCACCGUAGUGAUGAGCACCCUGGUGAUGACAUGCUUGGUGAUGGCUCUUUGAAAAAAACUCCUCACGAUUUGAACAGUCCUCACCUUAACCAAAGUGGCUGCAAUGGUGAUUCUAAUUUUGAGGGCGAGAGAGCAGUGAGAUAUGUUUCAUGUUAGACCCAUGACACUGACAAUAACACUGAAGAAUAGUAACUAGCUAAACGAGGAUGGGCCUUCCAGCAAGAAAAUGCUUAAAGACUAAAAUUCCAAGCCCUCGAGUGAAUGUUCACACGAUACUGAAACUGAUAGAAUCUAGGAUUCUGUUACUGACAAAAUUUGUUUAGAUUUGUUUCAGUCUAAUCUGACCCCUGUAAGUGCCUAUCAAACACGGCUUUAUAUAGUCUGUUAAUAAUAACAAAGCCUUCAAGAGAAAUACUUUCAC
RNA transcript from Raphanus sativus (radish), 2106 nucleotides. It is a transcript of the gene named protein ANTHESIS POMOTING FACTOR 1, with no coding region annotated. The transcript is spliced from 13 exons. The record is from RefSeq and is a predicted model, not a curated record. NCBI's taxonomy places the organism in Eukaryota, Viridiplantae, Streptophyta, Magnoliopsida, Brassicales, Brassicaceae.